CCUUCCGCAUCAGCCUCCUGAGUAGCUGAGACUACAGAAAUGAGGCUUCUCCCCAGGACCAGCAUUCCACGAAGGCAGCCCUUUUCUAGAUGGAGAAAACAGAACCUGAAGGCACCCGUUUCCCUAAACUGCUCUCGCUCAUGUUUCUACAGGGCCUGGAGCUGAUACGAAAAACCUCCCUUCUUUCCCAAAUGGUCCCCAGCUUCCCCGUUCACUGAAGGCCCUGCAGUCGGGAACAGUCAGGACUUUGUACCCAGUUGUUUUGGGUGUUUGGCCGACCCUUCCUCUUGUGUGAUUCAUGGACCCGCAGCAUUGCGUCACCUGUGAGCUUUUGGAAUUGAAGACUCUCAGGGCUCACCCGGGAGG
This 366-nucleotide long non-coding RNA is filed under the name Homo sapiens (human). Its description in RNAcentral is "HSALNT0317903". The record is from RNAcentral. Lineage: Eukaryota; Metazoa; Chordata; Mammalia; Primates; Hominidae.